RNAcentral lists this ribosomal RNA (1150 nucleotides) under uncultured bacterium. RNAcentral's name for it is "bacterial SSU rRNA". It matches the Rfam family "Bacterial small subunit ribosomal RNA", at positions 41 to 1182 of the family's 1533-position model. The record is from RNAcentral.
UACAGGCUUAACACAUGCAAGUCGAGGGGAAACGACAUCGAAAGCUUGCUUUUGAUGGGCGUCGACCGGCGCACGGGUGAGUAACGCGUAUCCAACCUGCCCAUCACUUGGGGAUAACCUUGCGAAAGUAAGACUAAUACCCAAUGACGUCUCUAGAAGACAUCUGAAAGGGAUUAAAGAUUUAUCGGUGAUGGAUGGGGAUGCGUCUGAUUAGCUUGUUGGCGGGGUAACGGCCCACCAAGGCGACGAUCAGUAGGGGUUCUGAGAGGAAGGUCCCCCACAUUGGAACUGAGACACGGUCCAAACUCCUACGGGAGGCAGCAGUGAGGAAUAUUGGUCAAUGGGCGAGAGCCUGAACCAGCCAAGUAGCGUGCAGGAUGACGGCCCUAUGGGUUGUAAACUGCUUUUAUAAGGGAAUAAAGUGAGUCUCGUGAGACUUUUUGCAUGUACCUUAUGAAUAAGGACCGGCUAAUUCCGUGCCAGCAGCCGCGGUAAUACGGAAGGUCCGGGCGUUAUCCGGAUUUAUUGGGUUUAAAGGGAGCGUAGGCCGGAGAUUAAGCGUGUUGUGAAAUGUAGACGCUCAACGUCUGCACUGCAGCGCGAACUGGUUUCCUUGAGUACGCACAAAGUGGGCGGAAUUCGUGGUGUAGCGGUGAAAUGCUUAGAUAUCACGAAGAACUCCGAUUGCGAAGGCAGCUCACUGGAGCGCAACUGACGCUGAAGCUCGAAAGUGCGGGUAUCGAACAGGAUUAGAUACCCUGGUAGUCCGCACGGUAAACGAUGGAUGCCCGCUGUUGGUCUGAAUAGGUCAGCGGCCAAGCGAAAGCAUUAAGCAUCCCACCUGGGGAGUACGCCGGCAACGGUGAAACUCAAAGGAAUUGACGGGGGCCCGCACAAGCGGAGGAACAUGUGGUUUAAUUCGAUGAUACGCGAGGAACCUUACCCGGGCUUGAAUUGCAGAGGAAGGAUUUGGAGACAAUGACGCCCUUCGGGGCCUCUGUGAAGGUGCUGCAUGGUUGUCGUCAGCUCGUGCCGUGAGGUGUCGGCUUAAGUGCCAUAACGAGCGCAACCCCUCUCCUUAGUUGCCAUCAGGUCAAGCUGGGCACUCUGGGGACACUGCCACCGUAAGGUGUGAGGAAGGUGGGGAUGA